AAGGAUAGUAAGAGUGCUCAUUGAUAUUAUUAAGUUGGAUAUUUAAUUGUUAUAAAUUAUCGAGUUUAAGACAUUGAGAGAAUUGAGUAAAUUACUAUUUUAAUGGGCCAAAAUUACCCGGCCCAAACCACUAAAAAACCAAAACCAAUGAAAGCCCAAAAUAAAAUAAAAAAACCUACCCAAGCAAACCCUAACAGCCCAAAGCCCAGCAAAACAAAAGAAACACAAAAAAAGACAAAACCCUAGUCCUAAGUGCUUCAGCCGCCGUAACCAAGUCAGCCUCCAGGCGCCGCACGUUGCGCACCACUCCUUCACGAUGUGCGCCGCUCCACCGCGCCACGUCAGAGGCGUGUCCGCCCACGUACCUGCAAAAAAGGGCUAAAUAUCCAGUUACCAAACAGUGUAAAAUUGGCUAUAUAAAGCCACAAUGUAAGAGGUUAUGGGGGAUGAAAAAAGAGGAAGGGAAGAAGAGAUUUAAACAUAUUUUUUCAAAAAAAAAAAACAGCAACAAACAUUUGCAGAAUAGAAAACCAACAAUCGAGCAAAGGUCUUUUGAGUUUUUUUUCUUAUCUUAUCUUUUUUCAUUUUCGAAACUUUUUUACCAUUAUUGUUUUUAUUUUUAUCAACAUAUAUUACAUGUAAAAAAAACAAAAAAAGGGAAAUUUUACCUUCGGCGCCGCUGUGUACGGCGACCGACGGUGAAUGGCGGUGGUUGGCGCUGCAGUCUGGCCAGACUUCAGGCCUGCAGAGAAAAGGAGAGAAGGGUUUUGUUUUUUUAAGAAAUGAGAGAAAA
Molecule: long non-coding RNA, 793 nt
Filed under: Gossypium barbadense (sea-island cotton)
Lineage: Eukaryota; Viridiplantae; Streptophyta; Magnoliopsida; Malvales; Malvaceae
Description: long non-coding RNA (GBAR_LNC012985)
Source: RNAcentral